UACAGAGGAUGCAAGCGUUAUCCGGAAUUAUUGGGCGUAAAGCGUCCGCAGGUGGCGAUACAAGUCAGUUGUCAAAGCGCGAGGCUUAACUUCGUAAAGGCAAUUGAAACUGUAUAGCUAGAGUGUGGUAGGGGUAGCGGGAAUUCCUAGUGUAGCGGUGAAAUGCGUAGAUAUUAGGAAGAACACCAGCGGCGAAAGCGCGCUACUGGGCCAUAACUGACACUGAGGGACGAAAGCUAGGGGAGCGAAAGGG
This 253-nucleotide ribosomal RNA is filed under the name uncultured bacterium. RNAcentral's name for it is "partial 16S ribosomal RNA". It matches the Rfam family "Bacterial small subunit ribosomal RNA", at positions 524 to 776 of the family's 1533-position model. The record is from RNAcentral.